AAAUGACUCUCGGCAACGGAUAUCUCGGCUCUCGCAUCGAUGAAGAACGUAGCGAAAUGCGAUACUUGGUGUGAAUUGCAGAAUCCCGUGAACCAUCGAGUCUUUGAACGCAAGUUGCGCCCGAAGCCAUCCGGCCGAGGGCACGUCUGCCUGGGCGUCACGC
This 163-nucleotide ribosomal RNA is filed under the name Diospyros virginiana (American persimmon). RNAcentral describes it as "5.8S ribosomal RNA". It matches the Rfam family "5.8S ribosomal RNA". Rfam says of the family: 5.8S ribosomal RNA (5.8S rRNA) is a component of the large subunit of the eukaryotic ribosome. Lineage: Eukaryota; Viridiplantae; Streptophyta; Magnoliopsida; Ericales; Ebenaceae. RNAcentral also lists the same sequence under 6 other names. The record is from RNAcentral.